This 1050-nucleotide long non-coding RNA is filed under the name Homo sapiens (human). RNAcentral's name for it is "HSALNT0295591". The record is from RNAcentral. Lineage: Eukaryota; Metazoa; Chordata; Mammalia; Primates; Hominidae.
ACCUGGCAGGGGCAGUUCAAGUGGCCCGGGAAAUCAGCGAUUUGUAGGGUCAAGGGCUGGUGCUUUAAAAGAGAGGCGGAGGGGAGAGAGGGAUUUCCCGGUCUCUGCUGCACUCUGUCUAUCCGCUCGGUUACUCCUUUUCCUGGCCCGCGCGAACCCGCUGUGCCGCAGAGGCGGCCAUGUACCUUUAAGGCCCCGCUGCGCCUGCGCCUUGGGCUCUCCUGACGCGCCGAGCGGGACCCUGAGGAUCCAGCUGGCCGCAGGCUAUGGGCUGGGCGGCGGUUGAGACAGCGGCGAUAUUGGGAGGGGUAGGUGAGCGUCGCGAGGCAGCGUGAGCUUCUGAGUGAACGCGGUGCUUUUGGGAACGCGGGACGGGCGACCUGUGGCGCCAGGAGCGGGCCGAGGCGCGGCGGCGCGGCUGCCGUCUGGAUGGGAAGUUACGGUUUACAGCGAAGUCCACCCAGCGUUUCCGAGGUGAAGGCGCCGCGCCAGGCCGGGCGGGCGGCUGGUGAUGGGCAAGCCGGGUGUACCAAGUCCAGGAUGCACAUGAGGAGCGUUUGUAGCCGUCACUGAAUCACCUCAUGACUAGCGGGGCAGGCCUCUAAUUCACCGCAGGAUUUCCGAUCUCACUCUGUUGCCCAGGCUGGAGUGCAGUGGCACAAUCACAGCUGACCACAACCUUGACCUCCCAAGGCUCAGGUGAUCCUCCUGCCUCAGCCCCCAAGUAGCUGGGACCUACAGGCAAUCUGAAAGCAAAUCCUGUUUAGAUGCAGGCGAAGGUUCCUGGUGACCCAGGCUCUCACCUUACCGUCCCUUACCGUCCUCCUGAGGGUGUCCUGGAGCUUCAGUGCUGUGUGUUCUUGGCCUCCAUGCUGGGGGUGCCACCAAUUCCCACUGUCCAGGGCUUCCAGUGGACUCUCCGAGGUACUGAUGUAGAAACUUCCCCAUUCGGUGCACCAAGAGCAACCUCACACGGUGUGGGCCAAAUGAAGAGCUGCCAGAUCCCACAGAUGGAGUUAUUUCUCUUUUCCUUGGGCUCGAAUGCAACGG